AAAUGAUUGAAAUCCCAGCAGGCCUCAUUACCGGCGGGCCUCCAGAGAGCCGGCGAAGGGGCUUAAGGUCUUCAAGUAACGAUUGAAACAUGAUUUGUAUUAAAGCCAACGAUCUUCCUCGCCAGAGCAUCAAAUUAGCGAGCAGCUCUGGUGAAGAAAGGAAGAGACAUCACCAAAGUGUAAUUGUCUCUGACGCCCGGAGCCGCGGAUCACGUUACGAGCGGAGACACGAGUAAAAGCGCUCGAGGAAGGUUUUAACUCCUCGACAGCGCCGUUGUAGUUUUUUUUUACGUCUGACGCCGCUGUAAUAUUCAAUUAAAGUCCUCUGCCAAGGACAAAACUUCAGACCGUCCAGUGUAAAGACACAGGCCCCACUGCUAAUCUCCGGCUCCAGAGCAGAACCAUCAUAUUUCAGUGAUAAUGAUUUCAAAAAAAAAUUAUUUUAUUUUUAUUUCCUGCAUCUGUCAAAGUUGAAGACGUCCAUGAAAGCCGAUGAAAGAGGGUUUAUCGUCUGUGGAUCGGCAGAGCGAACGUGCCGGAAGUCUUUUGAUGCCCGGGAUCGCGGUCCCCAGAGGCGAGCGAACGCAUCACUGCGCCGUCUGGCGUUUGAAUAAUCAAGGCUUUAUGUUUCCUGUUUGUUAAUGCCGCUGAAAAGAGCACAGAGUCGACGCAGCGGCCGGGUGAAUUUGAUGAUGAGGACGUCAUACAUCACUGGAGCGGAUCCAAAGACCAAACUUUCAACCCUUUGAAGGGGAGAAAAGGCGUCGGUAUCGAUUGGCCCUCUGAAACAUGCAGCCCGGGCAGCGAGACCCCCGCCCGCAUUGUGAACGCACCUCCCACCUCUAUCGCACCGGCAGAUCGAUAUCUCCCAGCUCAGAGUUGGCCAGGAGUGAAUCUGGUAGUGGAGCGCUUGAGGAGGAAGACAAGGAAAGAGGAGGAGGAGGGGAGGGUGAGGAAGGUUUCCACCAGCUCUGCUGAGGAAGGAAUAGUGAUGAGUGGAAUGACUGAGAGUGUCUGACAGGCUGAUAUAUAUAUAUAUAUAUAAAAAAAUCCGACAUGAUUAAAAAAACAGCUGGAAAGUUUUGGACUCUUGGGGGAAACGGUUGGAUCAUUGAAAUCACUUGUCAAGAAUAUAGAUUUUUCAUUCAAUUAAUUAAAGGAGACGUAUUCUGCUCAUAUUCAGGUUUAUAGUUUUAAUUUGGGUCUUUACUUGAUAGUUGGGUAGUUUCCUCGGACCGUCACAUUCCUGCAGCUCCUCGUUCCAGCCUCUUUCUGAAACACUUACAUGAAGGAGAAAAAAAACGGUCUAACACGCUAGAGGAAAGGGGAACAUUAAAUUGUCUCCUUUAAAUAAUGAAAAUCAAUGAAUAUCAAAUAAAAUGAAUAGCGGUUCAUCAUCCAUAAAAACACACAGACGAUAGAAAGUUUUCAGUUGUUAAACGGAGAAUGAGGCAGCAGCUUUCAGACAUUUAUAAAACACCGUGUUGACGACCAGACCCCAUAAAUGGAAUAGCUCUGUUUUCCCAGUCCCAGACUAAAGAUAAAGCCGGAACAGCAUUUUCAAAUGAAUACGCUAUGAAGAGGUAGAAGAAGACAAAAGAGAGGGAACUGUUGGCUUAGAUUGCUCGGAACAAUAGGAGAGGGAAAAAAAAGUGUCUGCACAUUUUUCCAGACAGGAAAACUUUUUCAAGCUGACAAAUACUGAUUGGACUGUUGUCGACCAAAAGAAAAGACGGGACUUUUAUGUUUCGUGUCGAUCUGGAAGAAUAUGAUCUUAUAAUCAAGGCUGCUGAAGCAUAACCAAAUAUUCAAUAAAGUAAAGCAGCCAUGAAAUGUUUUGUUGUGGGCCUCGUUGCCCUUAUAAUCAGUUUAAUGAACUUUUUUUCAUAAUUUAAAGGCAGUCCGUCGGGUUUCCUUCAUACCUAGUGCUUCUCACCCAAAAUACAUUCUGUGUAACAUUAAGGGCCCGUUACAAAUGCGUUGAAUGUGACUAUUGUCCCAUAUUUAGUUGGAAAACAAAUACGUUAUCUGGGAACAUUUUACUGAUGGGUUCAGUAUCCGCGCAUAUUUCUGAUUAGCUUAAAAGGAAACAUUAUCCAGUCAUAAUUAUGUUCCCUUCAAAAGGCAUUUGUUGUUAAUUGAAUAUAAAUGUAAUUUCUAUAAGCGUUGUUGGAAACCUGUAUUUGCAUCCAUAUUUACUUACAUCACAUCCAUUUUGCGAACUUUCUUGGUGUGUUGCUGCCACCGACUGUCAGUGAUUGUGUAUUACACCGCGCGGGUGCUCGUUUUCAUGCAGCUACAUCAUCGAGAAUGAGCGUAGAACACACACAGAACUUGUUUGUGAAAUGUAAACGUUGCUCUAUUGUGAUGCCAGUGUUCAAAAAAAACAACACCAGGUAUAACAUUAAGAAAUAUUUGAUAAGAAAAAAGGUUCUCAUACCCACGCGUUUAGAAGUUGGCGUGUGUCUUUAGAAGCCUCAGAAGCUGCACAAAGAACCACAAACUGCGUUAAAAAUGAAUAAACGUGGUGGUGUUGCGUGGACAAGGGUGACCUAACACAAAAGCAAAACUUUCCAAGUAGGUUCAAAUCGAUAGAAAAGGAGAACUGACGGGAAAGAAAGCUUGAAUUUCAAAUGUUGACUCAUGCCACUUUGCUCAUAUUUACAGUGAACUACACUUGAUGUCCUAUAAUUGUUUUGUGUGUAUUUAUUACAUAGACAUCUAGAAUAAUAGUUAACAUAUAAUAUAUAUAUAUAUAUAAAACUUUGUGCAUGGACUGCAAACACGGCGCAGUCAGUGUUUCAAAGAAAAC
RNAcentral lists this long non-coding RNA (2812 nucleotides) under Scophthalmus maximus (turbot). RNAcentral's name for it is "lncRNA (ENSSMAG00000035217.1)". The record is from RNAcentral. Lineage: Eukaryota; Metazoa; Chordata; Actinopteri; Pleuronectiformes; Scophthalmidae.